GUGUUUUCAGUGUUUGUCCAGUCUGCCCUCCUCUGUUCAUCAGUAACAGAGGGGAAGGUCUCAGACAGAGGACACAGACUAACCUCUGCCCAAGAAUGGGGACAAGUCCAAAGAUGAGGGCUUUGUCCUAAAGGCAGGGCAGCACAAA
Sphaeramia orbicularis (orbiculate cardinalfish) is the source of this 148-nucleotide non-coding RNA. Ensembl annotates it as small Cajal body-specific RNA 11. The record is from Ensembl. Lineage: Eukaryota; Metazoa; Chordata; Actinopteri; Kurtiformes; Apogonidae.